RNAcentral lists this ribosomal RNA (255 nucleotides) under uncultured bacterium. RNAcentral describes it as "partial 16S ribosomal RNA". It matches the Rfam family "Bacterial small subunit ribosomal RNA", at positions 524 to 776 of the family's 1533-position model. The record is from RNAcentral.
GACGUAGGGCGCGAGCGUUGUCCGGAUUUAUUGGGCGUAAAGAGCUCGUAGGCGGCUUGUCGCGUCGUGUGUGAAAUCUCAGGGCUCAACUCUGACAUUGCAUACGAUACGGGCAGGCUUGAGUUCGGUAGGGGAGACUGGAAUUCCUGGUGUAGCGGUGAAAUGCGCAGAUAUCAGGAGGAACACCGGUGGCGAAGGCGGGUCUCUGGGCCGAUACUGACGCUGAGGAGCGAAAAGCGUGGGGGAGCGAACAGG